RNAcentral lists this ribosomal RNA (493 nucleotides) under uncultured bacterium. RNAcentral's name for it is "bacterial SSU rRNA". It matches the Rfam family "Bacterial small subunit ribosomal RNA", at positions 8 to 518 of the family's 1533-position model. The record is from RNAcentral.
AGAGUUGAUCAUGGCUCAGGACGAACGCUGGCGGCGUGCCUAACACAUGCAAGUCGAGCGAGGAGAUUCCUUCGGGAUGAUCCUAGCGGCGGACGGGUGAGUAACACGUGGGCAACCUGCCUCAUAGAGAGGAAUAGCCUUCCGAAAGGGAGAUUAAUACCUCAUAACAUUGCAGUUUCGCAUGGAACAGCAAUUAAAGGAGUAAUCCGCUAUGAGAUGGGCCCGCGGCGCAUUAGCUAGUUGGUGAGGUAAUGGCUCACCAAGGCGACGAUGCGUAGCCGACCUGAGAGGGUGAUCGGCCACAUUGGGACUGAGACACGGCCCAGACUCCUACGGGAGGCAGCAGUGGGGAAUAUUGCACAAUGGGGGAAACCCUGAUGCCAGCAACGCCGCGUGAGUGAUGACGGCCUUCGGGUUGUAAAGCUCUGCCUUCAGGGACGAUAAUGACGGUACCUGAGGAGGAAGCCACGGCUAACUACGUGCCAGCCGCCGC